GACGAACGCUGGCGGCGUGCUUAACACCUGCAAGUCGAACGGAAAGUCCCUGCUUUUGUGGGUUGCUCGCGUGGCGCACGAGUGCCUUACCCGUGAGUAACCUUCCCUUGCCUUUGUGAUACCUUCACGAAACUCGUGCUAAUUCCGGUUAUGAGCUCCUCCUCCAUUGUGGCGUUUGGCCAUUUUCGGUGGUUGGGGAUCGACGCGAGGCUUAUCAGCUUGUUUGUUGGGUAGUGGCUUACCAAGGCUUUGCCGGGUAGACGGCCUGAGAGGGUGACCGGCCACAUGGGGACUGAGAUACGGCCCAGACUCGUACGGGAGGCAGCAGUGGGGAAUAUUGCACAAUGGGCGGAAGCCUGAUGCAGCAACGCCGCGAGCGGGAUGAAGGCCUACGGGUUGUAAACCGCGGUCGCCUGUGACGAAGCGUGAGUGACGGUAAUGGGGAAAGAAGCACCGGCUAACUACGUG
This 468-nucleotide ribosomal RNA is filed under the name uncultured bacterium. Its description in RNAcentral is "partial 16S ribosomal RNA". It matches the Rfam family "Bacterial small subunit ribosomal RNA", at positions 28 to 507 of the family's 1533-position model. The record is from RNAcentral.